This is a small nucleolar RNA of Balaenoptera musculus (blue whale), 135 nucleotides long. Its record names the gene SNORA70. It matches the Rfam family "Small nucleolar RNA SNORA70". Rfam says of the family: snoRNA U70 seems to be exclusive to mammals and is a member of the H/ACA class of snoRNA which contain H (ANANNA) and ACA box motifs. H/ACA box snoRNAs are involved in the conversion of uridines to pseudouridines (5-ribosyluracil) a constituent of structural RNAs (transfer, ribosomal, small nuclear, and small nucleolar). The record is from Ensembl. Lineage: Eukaryota; Metazoa; Chordata; Mammalia; Artiodactyla; Balaenopteridae.
UUGCAGCCAAUUAAGCUGACUGUGCUCUUUUCCCCAUGGGGCCCCUGUGUGCAAUGACUGAAAACAGCAGCCUUCUUAGUAGUGUAUGCAGCCUGUUGCCUCUAUGGGUUGCCCUAAGGGACCCUGGAGACAGCC